RNAcentral lists this ribosomal RNA (468 nucleotides) under uncultured bacterium. Its description in RNAcentral is "partial 16S ribosomal RNA". It matches the Rfam family "Bacterial small subunit ribosomal RNA", at positions 28 to 507 of the family's 1533-position model. The record is from RNAcentral.
GACGAACGCUGGCGGCGUGCUUAACACAUGCAAGUCGAACGGACAGGCCCUGCUUUUGUGGGGUGCUCGUGUGGCGAACGGGUGAGUAACACGUGAGUAACCUGCCCUUGACUUUGUGAUAACUUCAGGAAACUGGGGCUAAUAUCGCAUAGGAUCUCUUGCUGCAUGGUGGGGGUUGGAAAGUUUCGGCGGUUGGGGAUGGACUCGCGGCUUAUCCGCUUGUUGGUGAGGUAGUGGUUUACCAAGGCUUUGACGGGUAGCCGGCCUGGGAGGGUGACCGGGCUCAAUGGGACUGAGAUACGGCCCAGAAGCCUACGGGAGGCAGCAGUCGGGAACAUUGCACAAUGGGCCGAAGCCUGAUGCAGCAACGCCGCGUGCGUGAUGACGGCCUUCGGGUUGUAAACCGCUGUCGCCUGAGACGAAGCGUGAGUGACGGUAAUGGGUAAAGAAGCACCGGCUAACUACGUG